UGGCUAUGACUUCGUCUACACAAAUGAGUAUCUGUCAAGGAUUGAUUGGGUCCUUCAAAGAAUGCUCAUGCUGGUACUGCUUCCAAGCAGGUUUCUGAGGGUUUUCGUUCGAGAGCCCAGGAUGAUGCUGGAAGAAGAUUGAUUUUUGCUGCCAAGAGAAGACCUGACCAUGGUCGGAAAAGGGUAGAAGGCAUACUGCUUAGAAUCCUAUACCGAAGUGGUCAGACUGACAGACCGAUCAAGUUAGAAAGAAGUCUACACUUUAAAGACAUGUCUCGAGGCCUUCCUCGGGAUCGAAGCAGACCCAACAGCCAUUUUCCUGAUUGAUUGACUGAGAAGGGUAUUCCGCCCUAUUGGUCUUCGGGAUUAUGGUCGAAGCAGAGUAGAUG
RNAcentral lists this long non-coding RNA (389 nucleotides) under Panax ginseng (ginseng). RNAcentral describes it as "long non-coding RNA (PGIN_LNC004249)". Lineage: Eukaryota; Viridiplantae; Streptophyta; Magnoliopsida; Apiales; Araliaceae. The record is from RNAcentral.